ACUCCUACGGGAGGCAGCAGUGGGGAAUAUUGCACAAUGGGCGCAAGCCUGAUGCAGCCAUGCCGCGUGUAUGAAGAAGGCCUUCGGGUUGUAAAGUACUUUCAGCAGUGAGGAAGGUGGGUAUGUUAAUAGCAUAUUCAUUUGACGUUAGCUGCAGAAGAAGCACCGGCUAACUCCGUGCCAGCAGCCGCGGUAAUACGGAGGGUGCGAGCGUUAAUCGGAAUUACUGGGCGUAAAGCGCAUGCAGGUGGUUUGUUAAGUCAGAUGUGAAAGCCCGGGGCUCAACCUCGGAAUUGCAUUUGAAACUGGCAAACUAGAGUACUGUAGAGGGGGGUAGAAUUUCAGGUGUAGCGGUGAAAUGCGUAGAGAUCUGAAGGAAUACCGGUGGCGAAGGCGGCCCCCUGGACAGAUACUGACACUCAGAUGCGAAAGCGUGGGGAGCAAACAGGAUUAGAUACCCUGGUAGG
RNAcentral lists this ribosomal RNA (467 nucleotides) under uncultured bacterium. RNAcentral describes it as "bacterial SSU rRNA". It matches the Rfam family "Bacterial small subunit ribosomal RNA", at positions 335 to 794 of the family's 1533-position model. The record is from RNAcentral.